This is a non-coding RNA of Lupinus albus (white lupine), 455 nucleotides long. The record is from the annotation of a GenBank genome assembly. NCBI's taxonomy places the organism in Eukaryota, Viridiplantae, Streptophyta, Magnoliopsida, Fabales, Fabaceae.
AUAAACUAAAAGGAGUAAUCUUUAAGGUAAAAGCUUAAAAAUGACCUGUUUAAAAAUAUAGGCUCGGCCUGUUUAAGGCAAAGCCUGACCUGACCUGACAUGUUUCCACCUCUACCUACAAGUCAUUAACUUAUUUUUUCGGAGAAGAAUCAAUGAUGGUAUCCAGGGAAUAACAAUUGUCUAACUCUGUGCCAUCAGCCGCAGUAAGACAGAUGAUACAAGCGUUAUCCAAAAUGAUUGGGCGUAAAAUGUCUGUUGGUGGCUUUUUAAGUUUGCUGUCAAGUCCCAGGGCUCAUCCCUGGACAAGUGGUGGAAACUACCAAGCUGGAGUAGGGUAGGGGCAAACGGAAUUUCCGGUGGAGCGGUGAAAUGUGUAGAGAUCGGAAAGAGCGGCAAUGUUGCUUUGUAACCAAUUCCAUUAGGAACUGCGUAUUUUCCAGUCCAUCAUAUUCAUG